UACGAAGGGGACUAGCGUUGUUCGGAAUUACUGGGCGUAAAGGGUGCGUAGGUGGCGGGGCAAGUCAGGUGUGAAAUCCCGGGGCUCAACCCCGGAACUGCACUGGAUACUGCCUUGCUGGAGUCCUGGAGAGGAGACUGGAAUUUACGGUGUAGCAGUGAAAUGCGUAGAGAUCGUAAGGAAGACCAGUGGCGAAGGCGAGUCUCUGGACAGGUACUGACACUGAGGCACGAAGGCCAGGGGAGCAAACGGG
Molecule: ribosomal RNA, 253 nt
Filed under: uncultured bacterium
Lineage: Bacteria
Description: partial 16S ribosomal RNA
Rfam family: Bacterial small subunit ribosomal RNA
Source: RNAcentral